RNAcentral lists this transfer RNA (74 nucleotides) under Micromonospora echinospora. RNAcentral describes it as "tRNA-Glu". It matches the Rfam family "tRNA". From Rfam's summary of the family: Transfer RNA (tRNA) molecules are approximately 80 nucleotides in length. Their secondary structure includes four short double-helical elements and three loops (D, anti-codon, and T loops). The record is from RNAcentral. RNAcentral also lists the same sequence under 24 other names. Lineage: Bacteria; Bacillati; Actinomycetota; Actinomycetes; Micromonosporales; Micromonosporaceae.
GGGCCGUUGGAGCAAGCUGGCAGCUCACCUGGUUCUCAGCCAGGAGGUUACGGGUUCGAGCCCCGUACGGCCUA